UUCCGGUUGAUCCUGCCGGAGGCGACCGCUUUUGGAGUUCGAUUAAGCCAUGCGAGUAGAAAGAAAUUAGAUUCUUUGCGAACUGCUCAGUAACACGUGGAUAACCUGCCCUAUGCUCCGGAAUAACCUCGGGAAACUGAGAAUAAUACCGGAUAGAUCACAACGCCUGGAACGGUGUGUGGUUGAAAGAUUACGGCAUAGGAUGGGUCUGCGGCGUAUCAGGUUGUAGGGGGUGUAAAGGACCUCCUAGCCAUCGACGCGUACGGGUGUUGGGAGACAUGGCCCGGAGAUGGAUUCUGAGACACGAAUCCAGACCCUACGGGGUGCAGCAGGCGCGAAAACUUCACACUGCAGGAAACUGUGAUGAGGGAACUCCAAGUGCUAUCACUAUGUGGUAGCUUUUCUUGACUAUUAAUCGGUCAUGGAAUAAGGGCUGGGAAAGACCGGUGCCAGCCGCCGCGGUAAUACCGGCAGCUCAAGUGGUCGUCGCUUUUAUUGGGCCUAAAACGUCCGUAGCCUGUUUGGUAAAUCUGUGGGUAAAUCAACCAGCUUAACUGGUUGAAUUCUGCAGAGACUGCCAGACUUGGGACCGGGAGAGGUGUGGGGUACUCUAGGGGUAGGGGUAAAAUCCUGUCAUCCUUAGAGGACCACCAGUUGCGAAGGCGCCACACUGGAACGGAUUCGACGGUCAGGGACGAAGCCUAGGGGCACGAACCGGAUUAGAUACCCGGGUAGUCCUAGGUGUAAACGCUGUGAACUUGGUGUCGGGGAUCCGUAAUGGGUCCUCGGUGCCGGAGUGAAGAUGUUAAGUUCACUGCCUGGGGAGUACGGUCGCAAGGCUGAAACUUAAAGGAAUUGGCGGGGGAGCACUGCAACGGGAGGAGCGUGCGGUUUAAUUGGAUUCAACGCCGGA
This 913-nucleotide ribosomal RNA is filed under the name uncultured archaeon. RNAcentral describes it as "bacterial SSU rRNA". It matches the Rfam family "Archaeal small subunit ribosomal RNA", at positions 1 to 922 of the family's 1478-position model. The record is from RNAcentral.